Molecule: long non-coding RNA, 1296 nt
Filed under: Dromaius novaehollandiae (emu)
Lineage: Eukaryota; Metazoa; Chordata; Aves; Casuariiformes; Dromaiidae
Description: lncRNA (ENSDNVG00000013152.1)
Source: RNAcentral
UCUGAGCCCUAGACAUGAAAUCUGUUUCCUUGUCUAUUUCAGGUUUAAGACUGUGUGUUGUAGGUGCUAUGAGCUAGGGGAAGGCUUCUCCUCCUCCUCCCUCUCCUCCUCACUGCAUCAUCCUACACCCUAAAAUUAUGUCCCUUAAGGUCAGGAACAAGGGCAUGAUUUAGAUAUGAAAGAGACUUGAAAUGUCACUACUCAACAAUGAACAUCACGUGCUCUGGCUGAAAGGUGACACUGUAUUAAGAGGUAAUAAAUGCUUAGCAGAUAUUCGUGGGGUCAAGAAGUUUUUAUAACUACUUGUAAAUUUUUUUCUGAUGCUUCUAUGACCUUUCAUACCACAUAGUAAUUCAUAUUUGCAACAGACAUAUAAUGUUGGCACACUGUAUAUUAAUACUUUGUAUAUGGCUUCUGAUGUGCCCUGAACAUCAGAAAUAAUUGGAUAAGCAAGUUUUGGUAUCCAGCCCAACCAUCACUUCUCACAGGAAUAUUCUCCCAUUAACAGAACAUGGUACUUUUAAGAAUAGUAACUAAUGAUCUACAGCUUUACCAACCCCUGUGUCACAAACAUCUUUGCUUCAUUGUACAGAGUGGCAUUUUGUGAUUUUUAAAAACAAACAGAAAAGCAGAGACAUUCAUCUGUAACUGUUGCAUUUUAUCUCUGUUCCUUCCAGGGCCCUCAGGGACCUCAGGGCCAGCCAGGGCCACCUGGACCGCCUGGACCACCAGGACCAAGAGUAAGUUCUGUAACUACGCUAACUACGGUGCAGCCUUCUUUGUUGAAAGUGAUCCUCUUCAAAUGCAUUGCCUGUUCCAUCGCCACAAGUGAAAUGCAAAUACGUUUCCCUAUAACUUCCAUCACUGCAGUAAGAGUUUUUGAAUCUUUUGUCUUACACCAGCAUUUCUGUUCUACAAUGCUGUKGAGCCCUUAGUGGGCAAAGCUCAUGAACCUUUGACGUGGGUUAACGCCAUCACACUGUUUUUCUGUUGGAGCAAUUCUGCAUUUGAACAAUCUGAAAGAAAGCGCCAGAAGAUGCUGCAGUGUUUCUGGCCAAGGUGAUCGAUCUCCGUAUAUCCAGCUGGACUGUUCCCUUCUAAGGGAUUGUGCGAGUUAGCAGGAUAGGCUCAAUAUUUGAAGUAUCCUAAAGCUGUGAUGAUAUUUGUACUCUGAGAACAAACCCUAAGACCUAGUUUUUCAUAUGGGUGGAUUAAGUCUUUAAAAAAUGAACUCAAAGCUGUUGUGUAGUGUACAUGUCUCACAAACAGAGCAGAGAGUGGAGAUAAGCAGGGAAC